RNAcentral lists this ribosomal RNA (861 nucleotides) under uncultured bacterium. Its description in RNAcentral is "bacterial SSU rRNA". It matches the Rfam family "Bacterial small subunit ribosomal RNA", at positions 35 to 886 of the family's 1533-position model. The record is from RNAcentral.
GCUGGCGGCAUGCCUUACACAUGCAAGUCGAACGGAAACGAAAGGAGCUUGCUCCUAGGCGUCGAGUGGCGGACGGGUGAGUAACGCGUAGGAAUCUGCCCGAUAGUUGGGGAUAGCCCGGAGAAAUCCGGAUUAAUACCGAAUGUGGUCUACGGACUAAAGAGGGCCUCUCCUUGGAAGCUCUUGCUAUCGGAUGAGCCUGCGUUAGAUUAGCUAGUUGGUGGGGUAAUGGCCUACCAAGGCGACGAUCUAUAGCUGGUCUGAGAGGACGAUCAGCCACACUGGGACUGAGACACGGCCCAGACUCCUACGGGAGGCAGCAGUGGGGAAUAUUGGACAAUGGGCGCAAGCCUGAUCCAGCAAUGCCGCGUGUGUGAAGAAGGCCUUAGGGUUGUAAAGCACUUUCAGUAGUGAGGAAAAGCUAAGUAUUAAUACUGCUUAGCCGUGACGUUACCUACAGAAGAAGCACCGGCUAAUUCUGUGCCAGCAGCCGCGGUAAUACAGAAGGUGCGAGCGUUAAUCGGAAUUACUGGGCGUAAAGGGUGCGUAGGCCGCCAAGUCAGUCGAAUGUGAAAGCCCCGGGCUUAACCUGGGAAUGCCAUUCGAUACUGCUUGGCUAGAGUAUGGUAGAGGAAAGCGGAAUUCCACAUGUAGCGGUGAAAUGCGUAGAUAUGUGGAAGAACACCAACRGCGAASGCAGCUUUCUGGCCCAAUACUGACGCUGAGGCACGAAAGCGUGGGGAGCAAACAGGAUUAGAUACCCUGGUAGUCCACGCCGUAAACGAUGUCAACUGGCUGUUGGAGACGUUAGUCUGCAGUGGCGAAGCUAACGCGUUAAGUUGACCGCCUGGGGAGUACGGU